UGGCAUGUAGUUCAGCGGUAGAACGCUUGGCUGUUAACCAAGUUGUCGCAGGUUCGAUCCCUGCCGUGCCAG
RNAcentral lists this transfer RNA (72 nucleotides) under Synechococcus phage S-CRM01. It matches the Rfam family "tRNA". Rfam says of the family: Transfer RNA (tRNA) molecules are approximately 80 nucleotides in length. Their secondary structure includes four short double-helical elements and three loops (D, anti-codon, and T loops). Further hydrogen bonds mediate the characteristic L-shaped molecular structure. tRNAs have two regions of fundamental functional importance: the anti-codon, which is responsible for specific mRNA codon recognition, and the 3' end, to which the tRNAs corresponding amino acid is attached (by aminoacyl-tRNA synthetases). tRNAs cope with the degeneracy of the genetic code in two manners: having more than one tRNA (with a specific anti-codon) for a particular amino acid; and 'wobble' base-pairing, i.e. permitting non-standard base-pairing at the 3rd anti-codon position. Lineage: Duplodnaviria; Heunggongvirae; Uroviricota; Caudoviricetes; Pantevenvirales; Kyanoviridae. The record is from Rfam by way of RNAcentral.